This 380-nucleotide unclassified non-coding RNA is filed under the name uncultured bacterium. RNAcentral describes it as "contains 16S-23S intergenic spacer region". The record is from RNAcentral.
UCCGUUUUGUCAACGGCAGUCUCUCUAGAGUGCCCAACUUAAUGCUGGCAACUAAAGAUAAGGGUUGCGCUCGUUGCGGGACUUAACCCAACAUCUCACGACACGAGCUGACGACAGCCAUGCAGCACCUGUCACUCAUCCAGCCGAACUGAAGGAAACCAUCUCUGGAAUCCGCGAUGAGGAUGUCAAACGCUGGUAAGGUUCUGCGCGUUGCUUCGAAUUGAACCACAUGCUCCACCGCUUGUGUGAGCCCCCGUCAAUUCCUUUGAGUUUCAGCCUUGCGGCCGUACUCCCCAGGCGGAGUACUUAGCACAUUCGCUUCGACAGCGAGAGCAUCGGGCCCCCGCUGCCUAGUACUCAUCGUUUACAGCUAGGACUAC